RNAcentral lists this ribosomal RNA (449 nucleotides) under uncultured bacterium. Its description in RNAcentral is "SSU rRNA". It matches the Rfam family "Bacterial small subunit ribosomal RNA", at positions 26 to 518 of the family's 1533-position model. The record is from RNAcentral.
AGAGCGAACGCUGGCGGCAGGCUUAACACAUGCAAGUCGAGCGGGCGUAGCAAUACGUCAGCGGCAGACGGGUGAGUAACGCGUGGGAACAUACUUUUUGGUUCGGAACAACACAGGGAAACUUGUGCUAAUACCGGAUAAGCCCUUACGGGGAAAGAUUUAUCGCCGAAAGAUUGGCCCGCGUCUGAUUAGCUAGUUGGUGAGGUAACGGCUCACCAAGGCGACGAUCAGUAGCUGGUCUGAGAGGAUGAUCAGCCACAUUGGGACUGAGACACGGCCCAAACUCCUACGGGAGGCAGCAGUGGGAAUAUUGGACAAUGGGCGCAAGCCUGAUCCAGCCAUGCCGCGUGAGUGAUGAAGGCCCUAGGGUUGUAAAGCUCUUUUGUGCGGGAAGAUAAUGACGGUACCGCAAGAAUAACGCCCCGGCUAACCUUCGUGCCAGCAGCCGC